Poecilia reticulata (guppy) is the source of this 825-nucleotide non-coding RNA. NCBI's taxonomy places the organism in Eukaryota, Metazoa, Chordata, Actinopteri, Cyprinodontiformes, Poeciliidae. The record is from RefSeq and is a predicted model, not a curated record.
UGUGAAAGUAGUUCCGGGCACCAAACUAAGGGGGGAGAGUCCCGGAUGUUGGCUCGGCUGCCGAGAGAAAGGCGAACGGGAGAAGGCGGAGAAGCCGAGGAGAGGGACGGCGCGGCACUGUAGGCACACCGGGCGAAGAUCUCUGCACAGAGGACAACAACUGUCAGGAGCUCUGGGUUCUCCUGAGCUGGCGGGGAAGGACACCCUGUGUUGGACAAGAGGUGGUGGACGGAGCGGGGAAACAGCUGCUGUUAAACUACCGUGAGGAUUACCAGAGAGAGCCGCCGUCUCUGCUGCUUUCAUCCUGAAAAAACCCUCGCCGAAGCCAAAGAUUCUCUCUGCGGAGUUGAAGGAAAUGUUGAUCUAUGUAGACCAGGGAACCCACACAAGCGAUGACUCUCUCUUGCCACACAAACAUGUCUGUGGAGAAUUCAGAAGAAUGCAUCUUGUUACUCAGAUGAGUCAUACUUCCUCUGGCCUGGAUGCCUCUCCCUCAGGGUGGAUGAAUGAGAGGGCGGAGAGGUUAGCACGAGGAGGGGCUCGCUGGCAGAGACGACGUGGUCUGUCUGUUGCUUAAUGCAAUUAGGACCACAUUGGUGUGUCUSUCGCAGGGUUUCACCCUUUUGCAUCUGACCUGCAUAGAGAAAAGUGUCUGACUGACGGCUUUGAUCAAGCUGAGUCACUACCUGUUUAGAAAUCUGCGGCUCUGGUCUGACCCGAGGUCAGCCGCUCCGCCGAGGCACUGUAGCCCCCGGAGCAGAGCCCGGGGCCCCGGCUCUGCAGGAAAACAACUCUGCACAAAUAAACCCAAAAAAUUACAAUGGA